UGUUAGGUAACCAUCUCAAACACAGCCUG
RNAcentral lists this small RNA (29 nucleotides) under Bombyx mori (domestic silkworm). RNAcentral's name for it is "ovarian small RNA-36027". Lineage: Eukaryota; Metazoa; Arthropoda; Insecta; Lepidoptera; Bombycidae. The record is from RNAcentral.